This 377-nucleotide ribosomal RNA is filed under the name uncultured bacterium. Its description in RNAcentral is "bacterial SSU rRNA". It matches the Rfam family "Bacterial small subunit ribosomal RNA", at positions 138 to 507 of the family's 1533-position model. The record is from RNAcentral.
GGGGAGUAACGUAAGCGAAAGACUACGCUAAUACCGCAUACGAUCUAUGGAUGAAAGACGGGGAGUCGCAAGACCUCGCGCGAUUGGAGCGGCCGAUAUCAGAUUAGGUAGUUGGUGAGGUAAAGGCUCACCAAGCCGACGAUCUGUAGCUGGUCUGAGAGGACGACCAGCCACACUGGGACUGAGACACGGCCCAGACUCCUACGGGAGGCAGCAGUGGGGAAUUUUGGACAAUGGGCGCAAGCCUGAUCCAGCUAUGCCGCGUGCAGGAUGAAGGCCUUCGGGUUGUAAACUGCUUUUGUACGGAACGAAACGGUGAGCUCUAAUACAGUUUGCUAAUGACGGUACCGUAAGAAUAAGCACCGGCUAACUACGUG